RNAcentral lists this small nuclear RNA (97 nucleotides) under Aspergillus ruber CBS 135680. Lineage: Eukaryota; Fungi; Ascomycota; Eurotiomycetes; Eurotiales; Aspergillaceae. The record is from RNAcentral.
GUGCCUUUUCGCAUUCGAUCAACGAGACCACAGAGAAGAUUAGCAUGGCCCCUGCAUAAGGAUAACACGCUUCUAGAAGGAGCUACUGAUUUUCUUU